RNAcentral lists this ribosomal RNA (407 nucleotides) under uncultured bacterium. Its description in RNAcentral is "partial 16S ribosomal RNA". It matches the Rfam family "Bacterial small subunit ribosomal RNA", at positions 29 to 526 of the family's 1533-position model. The record is from RNAcentral.
AGCGAACGCUGGCGGCAGGCUUAACACAUGCAAGUCGAGGAGAGCGGCCGACGGGUGAGUACCGCGUGGGAACGUACCUUUUGGUUCGCAACCACACAGGGAAACUUAUGCUACUACCGGAUACCCAAAGAUCGGCCUGCGUGUGAUUAGCUAGUUGGGAUGGUAAUGGCCUCCCAAGGCGACGAUCAGUAGCUGGUCUGUGAGGAUGAUCAGCAACAUUGGGACUGAGACACGGCCCAAAAUCCUACGGGAGGGAGCAGUGGGGAAUAGUGGAAAACGGGGGCAAUCAAGAUCGAGCCAUGACGGGUGAGUGAUGAAGGCACGAGGGAUGUAAAGCUAUUUUGUGCGGGAAGCGGUACCGUAAGAAUAAGCCACGGCUAACUUCGUGCCAGCAGCCGCGGUAAUAC